UACGUAGGGUGCGAGCGUUAAUCGGAAUUACUGGGCGUAAAGUGUGCGCAGGCGGCUUCGCAAGUCGAGUGUGAAAUCCCCGAGCUUAACUUGGGAAUUGCGCUCGAAACUACGGAGCUGGAGUGUGGCAGAGGAAGGUGGAAUUCCACGUGUAGCGGUGAAAUGCGUAGAGAUGUGGAGGAACACCGAUGGAGAAGGCAGCCUUCUGGGCCAACACUGACGCUCAUGCACGAAAGCGUGGGGAGCAAACAGG
RNAcentral lists this ribosomal RNA (253 nucleotides) under uncultured bacterium. RNAcentral describes it as "partial 16S ribosomal RNA". It matches the Rfam family "Bacterial small subunit ribosomal RNA", at positions 524 to 776 of the family's 1533-position model. The record is from RNAcentral.